UUUGAAUAUCUGAACUUAUUGUCACUAAGUAACAAUGUUGAGUCAAGCUCAGACGCUUGAUUUUACAGAAACCUCAAAUAUAUUUUACAUCUGUAUAGAACGUAAAAAGGAGUCCAAAUGAUUGGAAGAGAUAGAGAAAGAAGUGCUGGGCCUAUCUCAUAAUCCGAGGAGUCUGAAGUGAGAAGCAAGUGGUUGGUUUUGAUAAUUGAUACAGUGAGUGAAGCAUAACUCACACUCUGCCCCCAAAAUCUAUUUC
This 256-nucleotide long non-coding RNA is filed under the name Lupinus angustifolius (narrow-leaved blue lupine). Its description in RNAcentral is "long non-coding RNA (LANG_LNC003389)". Lineage: Eukaryota; Viridiplantae; Streptophyta; Magnoliopsida; Fabales; Fabaceae. The record is from RNAcentral.